AAAGAAUUAGUUAAACUAACAUUAGUAUGUCAAGCUAAAAUUAUUAGUAUAAAUCUAAUAUUCUUUG
RNAcentral lists this transfer RNA (67 nucleotides) under Protohermes hainanensis. Its description in RNAcentral is "tRNA-Asp". It matches the Rfam family "tRNA". From Rfam's summary of the family: Transfer RNA (tRNA) molecules are approximately 80 nucleotides in length. Their secondary structure includes four short double-helical elements and three loops (D, anti-codon, and T loops). The record is from RNAcentral. Lineage: Eukaryota; Metazoa; Arthropoda; Insecta; Megaloptera; Corydalidae.